This is a long non-coding RNA of Ahaetulla prasina, 516 nucleotides long. RefSeq lists it as uncharacterized. The transcript is spliced from 3 exons. Lineage: Eukaryota; Metazoa; Chordata; Lepidosauria; Squamata; Colubridae. The record is from RefSeq and is a predicted model, not a curated record.
GGUACAACAGAAGAGAUAUGCAAUGGGUCCCACUUGUGAAAGAGUUAUAACUGGCAGAUUUCAAAGAGAGGCUUUUUCUGUCAUGGCUGCCACCCUAUGGAGCUUAAUUCUACUGAGGUCUUUUUAUUUAUCUACUGUGAGAUUAUUCUGUCUUCAAAAGAGGGAAGAAAGGGCUGAAUACUAUAAUCUCCCACAUCUCUGUGCUAUAUGGCCAGGAGGUUCUUCAAAAUGAUUAUCAAUCAAUCAGAAUAGAGCUAGACGAGACUUCGAUGUCUUCUUGGAUGAGAAGCAAACCAUCUUCAAAGAAAAAAAAGAAAGUCCAGUUACCUUUUGAAAAAGCACCUUUGGGACCUGGAUGACUGAGAGAGAGGAUUUGAAUUACCGUCAUCUCUGUGAACGCAUAAAAUCCAACAAUGCUUCACAUAUUACAUUAUGUUAUAAUAUUUGAUUUUGUUACAUUAGAUUAUAUGUUGCAAUGAAUUGUUCAGUUGGUGAAUUUAGAUAAUUUACCAGGUA